Molecule: ribosomal RNA, 253 nt
Filed under: uncultured bacterium
Lineage: Bacteria
Description: partial 16S ribosomal RNA
Rfam family: Bacterial small subunit ribosomal RNA
Source: RNAcentral
UACGUAGGGCGCAAGCGUUAUCCGGAAUUAUUGGGCGUAAAGAGCUCGUAGGCGGCUUGUCACGUCGGGUGUGAAAGCCCGGGGCUUAACCCCGGGUCUGCAUUCGAUACGGGCAGGCUAGAGUGUGGUAGGGGAGAUCGGAAUUCCUGGUGUAGCGGUGAAAUGCGCAGAUAUCAGGAGGAACACCGGUGGCGAAGGCGGAUCUCUGGGCCAUUACUGACGCUGAGGAGCGAAAGCGUGGGGAGCGAACAGG